This 5083-nucleotide long non-coding RNA is filed under the name Marmota monax (woodchuck). The record is from RNAcentral. Lineage: Eukaryota; Metazoa; Chordata; Mammalia; Rodentia; Sciuridae.
UACGCGACGUCGCCUGCGCUUUGGUCCUGGGCUUCUGUCGGCUCUUGUGAAGGGUCUUUCCGGCCGGUCGCCACCUUAGGUCCCUCUGCCAGCAGCUUCCGCCCUCUGUAACCUGGUGACCUGAGGCUCCGGGAGCCGUGGGAGGACUCCGGGCAGGACGCCCCGGAAGCCGGAAAUGGUGAGUGUCGGGGCCGGGAGUCGGGAGUCCAGCUGGCGCUGUCGGAACCCGCAGGAAAUGGAGGGCCUCCGGGCGCAAGCUCCGAGUUUGCCGCCAGCUCCGCCGCUGGCCCCUCUCGGCCCUCGGUCCCCUAUGGCCCGAGAAUGGGGCUGGACCGACAUCUCGGACCUCAGCGACCUGUCCUGUCCCUGUGCGGCCCCUUAGCUUGGCCGGGAGCCUUCUCUGGGCAGCUCCGCGCCUCCCCAGAUUGGGGUGACGGCGGGAGUGUCACGGGAGACUCCAACUCAUGUGUGGGGUUCUUGCCGUGGAGGAGGUGGGGUGUGCAGGGCCGCAGUCCCUCCGUUCCCCCCAAGGGGGACCCUUUUGCCCGGAGUUUUCCAAAUGUAGGGGAAGUCUCAAAUCAAGGACCCUAAUCCCUCCCAAGUCUUCCUAGGGCUGGCAGUAAAUCCCUAAAUUUCCAGUACCCUUUCCGUGUUCCAAAAUGGUAACUUCCCUCUCUCAUUCACAGCAUCGAGUUCAACUAUUUGUCCUUUCUACACACGGAGUUUUAAUUAUAAUUUUUCCAUAGUACCAUGGAUGCCUGUAUGUAAAGACUUUUUUUCUUUUUGUUGAUUUUGUUUUCUUUGUUUGUUUGUUAGUAUUUUACCUGAAAGGAAAGCAAGAGAAUAACCUCUUGGAUCUGUUGUCUCUCAGAUGCAUGCGCCCCUUCUUAUAAUCUUUACUGGGCAGGAACAUUCAAGGGAACUCCUUUGGAUUGAGGUUCUUCUUUGGAAAUCUUCCAGACUGAUCUGCCUUUAAGUUCAGCUGCAGAUCAACCCUGCUCUUCCUUAGCAUUUCAACCUCUAUUGAUUUAACUACUACUGAUAUUUACAGAAAACUGAAUACGUUUAUGUAUUCAGUUUUGUAUUCAGUUUUCUGUAAAUGUCAGUAGUAGUUAAAUCAAUAGAGGUUGAAAGACAAUACAAAAUAUUUCCUAGAGUCAAGAAAGACAUGAAUUUCAGAAGAAUAAAACAAAAGAGUCCUAGCUUACAUUACAAUUUUUCUCCAAUUAUCAGAGCCUAUUAUAUUCCAUCUUUAUUUUUUAGUUUUUUAUAUUAGGCAUUGAACCCAGCAGUGUUUUACCACCGAGCUACAUCCCCAGCCUCUUUUUAAAAAAAAUUUUUUAGUUGUAGAUGGACACAAUAUCUUUAUUUUAUUUUUUCUGUAGUGCUGAGGAUCAAACCCAGGGCCUCACACUGCCAGGGGAGCGCCCUACCACUGAGCCCCCAGCCUCUUAAAAAAUAAAUUAAAAAAAAAAAAAUUGUAACAGGGUCUCAUUAAGUUGCUGAGGCCUUGAACUUAUGAUCCUUCUGCUUCAGCCUCCUCAGCCGCUGGAAUUAUAGGUGUGUACUACUACACCUGGCUUCAUCUUUAUUUUUAUUUCUCUUGUAGUGCCAGGGAUCUAAUCAAAGUCCUGUGUGUGCAGAAGCUCUACCACUGAGCUACAUGCCCAGACUUUUUUAUAUAUUUAUCUUUUUGAGACAGUAUUGCUAAGUUACCCAGCCUGACCUGAAACUUGGGUUCAAAUACCAUCAUUAAUUGUAUACAAAAUAAUUUCCUACAUGAAUGUUUUAGAGUGAACUGAAGACUUCAUUUUCUGAAAAAAAAAAAAAAAAAUCCGGAUAUUUUUAGGUUUUCUUGCUGAGUUGGCAAAUGUACAUUACAGUUUUCUUUCCAUGAAUACUAGGUUUGAGUGAUUUUGCUGGAUUCUUCAAACACUGGCUUUGUAUCAUUUAAAAUAUCAAUGGAGGAAGAGAGAUGUAGCUCAGUCAGAGUGUGUACCUUGCACGGGCAAGGCCCUGGGUUCCAUCCCUAGCAUCACACACAUGAAAAAAAUCAGCGGUGACCUUCAGAACUAUGAGUUAAAUAAAACCUCUUUUCUUUAUAUAGUUAAUUAGAUUAUCAGUGGUUGUUCAAAGCUACUUGUUGACUCAGAGGCAGAUGCCCAAGGCCAGUGACACUGAGUUAAGGCUACCUUUGAGCCUGCAGAGGGAAGUAAUGGAAGAUCAAACUGGUUCUUUCUGGGGAUUGUCCCCUGGCAGGUGUCCUGCCUGCUCACACCCACCUAGGAAAGAGCUCUUUGUAUUAAGUAAAGAUGCAAAGCACUGGAAAACUGGGCAUCCACAUGCAUGAUGGGUUACAGAGGCUCAUUCUUGGGUCUUUGUAUAGACCCUUUUGAAUUUUGUAUCCAGAAAUUUGUUGCACAUAGUGUUUUAAUUGUGCGUACUGGGAAAAUCAGUGAAGAUCAGGGUUUCUAUGUUUUGGAAAAACUGUUAAUAAAUUUGGGAAUUUAUUUGAUUCAAACCCUAAACUGAAUCCAACUGAGAGUUUCCUCACUUAUGAGAACAGGUAUAUGUGGGGUGGGAGGUAUUUCCUUGCCAUCUAGGAAGAGGACUCCAUUCCUGUGGCUGCCCAGGUACCCUGCCCUCCAUCUCCAGGGAUUGACCUAUGCUAGGAGUUAUAUUUAAAUUAUGAAAGCCCACCCCCAGACUUGGGAAUAUUUUAACCCACAGUAUGUGAUUUUUCCUUAUGAAUGAUGGGGAAACAGUUUGUUUAUCUGAACAGAUUCAGUGUUGCAUUUAUUUGUUUAUUUUGAUUCCUUCAUUGGAUAUUGCUUUCUUUUAACAUAGUUUCUUUAAACUUUGUAAUUUUAUUCCUUCUGUUAUGUGUAAAUUUUAGUUUCUUGUUUGAAUCUGUAGAUUGAGAGACAUGUUAGUCAAGAAAAUUCUGGAACAGCACAAUUUUUGUCACUUUUAGGCAUGAGAGAGACAGUGAUGGGAGGAUGUAUUUUAAGUUCUCAGGUGAAUUUUUCUUUCUUCAGAUCAGUUUUUGGGGCCGAGGAUAUGGCUCAAUGGUAGAGCACUUGCCUAGCACAUUCAGGGCCCUGGAUCUGAUCUCCAGCAACACACACAAAAUCUAAUUUAAUGAAGGUCAAACUGCUAAUAAAUUGUAAUAUUCAUUCCUAAGCUGUACCCCACAGUGUCGUAUUUAGCGGAGCAACAGGUGUGAUCCCACUUGCCACAUAGUUCAAGAUUCCAAAAGUUCACUUAUGAAUUUAUUUCUCACAUUUCCACCAUGAUAUGUAAGAAACGAGAUCUUAUAAUGGUUACCUAUAUAGGAACAUCCAAAUUAAUUAAAUGUAAGUUCUACCACUGAGCUACAGCCCCAGCCCCCUUUUAUUUAUUUAUUUUUUUUAAAAAGAAAAAAAAGGAUUUUAUUCAAAAUUUAUUUUUUUUAUUGGUUGUUCAAAACAUUACAAAGCUCUUGACAUAUCAUAUUUAUUUAUUUAUUUUUUAAUUUUUAAAAAUACCUUAUUUUAUUUAUUUUUAUGUGGUGCUGAGGAUCGAACUCAGGGCCCCUCGUGCAUCCAUGCGAGCGUUCUACCGCUGAGCCACAACCCCUGCCCCCUUUUUAGUUUUUAUUUGGAGACAGGGUCUUGCUAAGUUGCUGAGGCUGGCUUUGAAUUUGCAAUCCUCCUGCCUCAGCCUCCCAAGCGCUGGGAUUACAGGUGUGUACCACCAUGCAUGAUUUAUGAAUUAAAUGAAUAUGAAUUAAAUAUGAAUUAAAUGCAGACCUUCUUUACUAUAGUUCACCUUUCCUCUGUAAACAUGUCUGGGAUGUUUCAGGACUCAGUGACGUUUGAGGAUGUGGUUGUGAACUUCAGUGUGGAUGAAUGGGCUAUGUUGGAUCAUGCCCAGCGGGAACUCUACCGAGAUGUUGUCGGGGAAAUCUUUAUGAGCUUGGCCUUUAUAGGUAAGGAAGACAAUUUUUCUUUACUUACUCAAUUAAAGAGCAAGUGUUUCUUGCCCAUUAGUGAUGUUCAUGAUUUGAAACGUGGAAAGGAAAUACUGUGGUAAAUAAACUGGCAUGGUUGCAACUCAUCAGAAACUUAGAGUCUAAUAUAAUAUGUUUCCUUUUAAGUUGUAACAAUUAAUGAUUAUGACGUUUUCUCUAAGUUAUAAUAAUUCAUAAUGGUUUUUCUGGCUCUACUUUCUAGGGGAAAAAUGGGACCAGAACAUUGAAGAUUGGUACAGAAAUCAGGGGAGAAAUUUAAGGUAAUUUAUAAUGAAAGGAGAAAGCAGUCUUACCAAAGCAUCUUAAUAUGUCCUAGAGUUUUUUUUGUUGUUGUUGUUUGUUUUGUUUUUGUUUUUUGGUACCAGGGAUUCAACUCAGGAGCACUCUUCCACUGAGCCACAUCCCCAGACCUAUUUUAUAUUUUAUUUAGAGACAGGGUUUCACUGAGUUGCUUAGUGCCUUGCCAUUGCUGAGGCUGGUUUUGAAAUUGUGAUCCUCCUGUCUCAGCCUCCCAAGCCGCUGGGAUUACAGACAUGCACCACCGAGCCCAGCUGUCAUAGAGUUUUUUAUGUAAGUAAAUAAAUAAGCCUCUCUCCAAAUUUUAUGUAUUCAGAAAAAUUUCACCUAUAUAUGUAUUCAAGUGUGAUGUUCGAUGUUUGAAAAAUAGGAACCAUUUAUUAGAGUCUGCAAAUAUCACUGAGUAUCGCUGUUUUAUUUAAUAGAUGAGAUUAAGCCCUCUUGCAGAGCAUUCAAUCUGUUCACUUUCAAAUAAUUUAGACAGGGCAGAAAACCCUCACUUUCUCUGAUAACAAUAAAAAUGUCAGUUUAUAUAAUCCCAGUGGCUCAGGGGGCUGGGGCAGGAGGAUCACAGGUUCAAAGCCAGCCUCAGCAACUUAGAAAGGCCCUAAGAAACUUUGUGAGACCCUGUCUCAUUAUAAAAAAAAGUCUGGGCAUAGCGGCAGGAAAGAUAGUGGAAUGAGAUGGACAUCAUUACCCUAGGUAUAUGUAUGACUGUGCGUAUGCUGCAAUGCUACAUGUACAACCAGAGAAAUGAAAAGUGCUGUAAUUGUG